CCCUUAAUAAUUUGUAUAACAACAGCCAGUCUAGCCUGUCAUAAUUCAGUAACUACAAGCUAUUUAUCUAUUCUGGAAAGAUAUGACUGUUUCAACGCCACUUGUAGUACUCCUGGCUAUUACAAGGCUGCCAGUUUUUAUUGGCGGAAGCCAUAUAAAUGGCACCUGAAAAAACACAGACCUUCAGUGUCUUUUAAUGUUGUCCAAAGUUUCUGUUGAAAUGUUUGUACUGGUUUGAGGUAUUGCUGAUUAAAAGUGUAGAUGUCUGAAUAAACAAAAAACAUCCUUUAUCAUGUUUUAGAUUAAAAAGUAAUUAUAUCCAAAUUUCCAAUUUAGUUUCAGCACAAACGUUAAAGAUAAUUGUUGCAGAAGCCCUUUUUAUUUAAAGGAAACAAUAUAAGAUUUUAAAUUUUGAAUCUUCCAAAAUAAAUCUUUUCAGUUUUGUAAAGUGGUACAUUGUGAAAUUUAUAAUUAAAAAAACAAAUCUUUUCUAAUAAUAAGGGACAUAACUCUCCAAUGGUAAAAAAAUACUAAACCCAUCAAAAUAAUGUAAAUGCUUAAAGCAGCUUUCAGAUUUGUUAGUUUGUAAAUACAAAAUUAGCCUCCUCCUGGCCAAAUGAAACUUAAUUAACUUUGUAAUAGAAUUUUCCAUGCCAAAAACACUUUUAUUGGAUAAAAAAUAUGAAGUAAAAACAGUGACCUUUAUAAUCUUAAGCUUUUUUGGUACGAGAAAAAAAAUUAUCAGAUACUUAUUAUUUGGCCACAACAUUUAAUAAUUUUUUAAACACCUAUUAUCACAGAAUAUAAUUUUUGCCAUCUUAAUUAUAUUGUUAAGUGUGUUGUUGGCAUGCUGUCUCAUUGAAAUAUACCUCAGAUCCUCUUUUAUCUUAUUCAAGAUUUUCAGAAAAGCAAUUUAAAAAUCUGUUAAAGGUUUAUUCUCUAAAUAAAUAGAAUAAUUGGUCCAGUGAUCAAUGGAGAAUGUAAAUGAGAUGUGGUAAAAAUGCCAAUGAGAUGUGCUUAGAAUGCCAAUGAGAUGUGCUUAGAAUGCCAAUGAGAUGUGUUAAUACAACUAAUGAGAUGCGCUAAGAAUGCAAAUGAAAUGUGGUAAAAAUGCCAAUGAGAUAAAGCUAAAGAUAUGUUGUAAUAAUGCUAAUGAGAUGUGGUAAUAAAGCUGAUGAGAUGCGCUAAGAAUGCAAAUGAGAUGUGGCUAUAAAGCUGAUGAGAUGUGCUAAGAAUGCAAAUGAGAUGUGGUAAUAGAGCUAAUGAGAUGCGCUAAGAAUGCAAAUGAGAUGUGGUUAUAAAGCUAAAGAUAUGUGGUAAUAACGCUAAUGAGAUGUGGUAAUAAAGCUAAUGAGAUUUGGUUAUGAAGCUGAUGAGAUGCGCUAAGAAUGCAAAUGAGAUGUGGUAAUAGAGCUAAUGAUAUGUGCUAAGAAAGCUAAUGAGAUGUGGUAAUAAAGCUAAUGAGAUGUGGUAGUAAAGCUAAUGAGAUGUGGUAAUAAUGCUAAUGAGAUGUGGUUAUAAAGCUAAAGAUAUGUUGUAACAAUGCUAAUGAGAUGUGGUAAUAAAGCUAAUGAGAUGUGGUUAUAAAGCUGAUGAGAUGCGCUAAGAAUGCAAAUGAGAUGUGGUUAUAAAGCUGAUGAGAUGCGCUAAGAAUGCAAAUGAGAUGUGGUAAUGGAGCUAAUGAGAUGCUCUAAGAAUGCAAAUUAGAUGUGGUAAUAGAGCUAAUGAUAUGUGCUAAGAAAGCUAAUGAGAUGUGGUAAUAAAGCUAAUGAGAUGUGGUAGUAAAGCUAAUGAGAUGUGGUAAUAAAGCUAAUGAGAUGUGGUAAUAAUGCUAAUGAGAUGCGCUAAGAAUACUAAUGAGAUGUGGUAAUAAUGCCAAUGAGAUGUGGUUAGAAUUCCAAUGAGAUGUGGUUAGAAUGCCAAUGAGAUUUAGUAAGAAUGCCAAUGAGAUUUAGUAAGAAUGCCAAUGAGAACUAUCCACCAAAGAUUGAGCCACAAGGCUGCAAAAACUAUCUUUCUUUCAUGUGAAUUUUGUGUAUACUUUGUAUACUUUGUAAGCUCCCUAACAGCUGAUAGUUAACAUUUUCAUCAAAUUAUGAUUUAAAUUAUCCUUUCUUUAAAUAAAAUUAUUUGGUAAUUAAACUUUUUUAAAUGAACAUUGAAAAAGCUUCUAAAUUUUCUGAAAAAAUUACAUUAAAUAGGCACUUUUGAAUUUUUUGCCUAUUUAAAAAAAAUAUACCAGUAAUGGCACAAGGAUAGAAGAUGUGUGGAAUCAAAUAGGUAACAACUAUAGUGAUAAUGAAAUAUUCUAAUAAUAACCAGUUUUUUAAUGUCUUGACUUAAUGGACUUAUUGUAUGAUGAUAUAUGCGACCAGUUAGAAUAGUGGACAAUGAAAUAUUCAAACAUGGAACAGACUGAAGUUAAUAGACUUAAAAUUCAAAAUUGAAACCAGCAAGUGAAUUAUUGACAUUUAUUUUGAUGUGACCAGUAUUCAUGUGGAUGGACAGUACUAGUGGACUAUAAACUGAUAAAUCUCACAGAAAGGCACAUCACAACUGAGUCUGAAGCUGUUACAUACAAAAGACAAGAUAUCCAGGAAAUAAGAAUUGUAUGUGAUCUAUUUAAAGAUCUUAGGACAGUAGGACCUGGAAGUACUUUAUUACCAACUUCAAGAUUAACUGAGCUUGAGAAAUUACAAAUCAACUGAUACAGAAGAAGAGACUUUGCCAUGUGGAUGAACUUGGAAACAAUUAUUGACAAACAAUAUAGUGUAUUAGUAUUCUUGUAAAAAUCAAGAGAGAGAGAGAGAGAGAGAGAGAGAGAGAGAGAGAGAGA
Molecule: long non-coding RNA, 2836 nt
Organism: Mytilus californianus (California mussel)
Lineage: Eukaryota; Metazoa; Mollusca; Bivalvia; Mytilida; Mytilidae
Exons: 3
Source: RefSeq, a predicted model, not a curated record